CGCAGGUGCAGUGGGCACGAGUGCAAGUGCAGUGAGUGCAAUGGGUGCAGGUGCAGUGGGUGCAGGUGGGCACCGGUGCAGUGAGUGCAGGUGCAGUGGGCAAAGGUGCGGUGAGUGCAGGUGCAGUAGGUGCAGAUGGGCACAGGUGCAGGUGGGCAUAGGUGCAGUAGGUGCAGGUGCAGUGGGUACAGGUGGGCACAGGUGCAGUGAGUGCAGGUGCAGUGGGCAAAGGUGCAGUGGGUGCAGGUGGGCACAGGUGCAGUGGGUACAGGUGGGCAUAGGUGCAGAAGGUGCAGGUGCAGUGGGUACAGGUGGGCAUAGGUGCAGUGAGUGCAGGUGGGCACAGGUGCAGUGAGUGCAGGUGGGCGCAGGUGCAGUGGGUGCAGGUGCAGUGGGCGCAGGCGGGCACAGGUGCAGUGGGCACAGGUGUAGUGAGCAAGGCAAAGGGGGUGCCCAGAGGAGGGCCCGAGUCCUGCUUCGGAUGGGGAGGCACAAGCAGCCGCAACACUCA
This 511-nucleotide long non-coding RNA is filed under the name Pan troglodytes (chimpanzee). RNAcentral's name for it is "long non-coding RNA NONPTRT009052". The record is from RNAcentral. Lineage: Eukaryota; Metazoa; Chordata; Mammalia; Primates; Hominidae.